GAUGAACGCUGGCGGCGUGCCUAAUACAUGCAAGUCGAGCGAACAGACGAGGAGCUUGCUCCUCUUACGUUAGCGGCGGACGGGUGAGUAACACGUGGAUAACCUACCUAUAAGACUGGGAUAACUUCGGGAAACCGGAGCUAAUACCGGAUAAUAUAUUGAACCGCAUGGUUCAAUAGUGAAAGACGGUUUUGCUGUCACUUAUAGAUGUAUCCGCGCCGCAUUAGCUAGUUGGUAAGGUAACGGCUUACCAAGGCAACGAUGCGUAGCCGACCUGAGAGGGUGAUCGGCCACACUGGAACUGAGACACGGUCCAGACUCCUACGGGAGGCAGCAGUAGGGAAUCUUCCGCAAAGGGCGAAAGCCUGACGGAGCAACGCCGCGUGAGUGAUGAAGGUCUUCGGAUCGUAAAACUCUGUUAUUAGGGAAGAACAAAUGUGUAAGUAACUAUGCACGUCUUGACGGUACCUAAUCAGAAAGCCACGGCUAACUACGUG
This 497-nucleotide ribosomal RNA is filed under the name uncultured bacterium. RNAcentral's name for it is "partial 16S ribosomal RNA". It matches the Rfam family "Bacterial small subunit ribosomal RNA", at positions 28 to 507 of the family's 1533-position model. The record is from RNAcentral.